This 407-nucleotide ribosomal RNA is filed under the name uncultured Rhodococcus sp. RNAcentral describes it as "bacterial SSU rRNA". It matches the Rfam family "Bacterial small subunit ribosomal RNA", at positions 509 to 914 of the family's 1533-position model. Lineage: Bacteria; Bacillati; Actinomycetota; Actinomycetes; Mycobacteriales; Nocardiaceae. The record is from RNAcentral.
CAGCAGCCGCGGUAAUACGUAGGGUGCGAGCGUUGUCCGGAAUUACUGGGCGUAAAGAGCUCGUAGGCGGUUUGUCGCGUCGUUUGUGAAAACCCGCRGCUCAACUKCGGGCUUGCAGGCGAUACGGGCAGACUUGAGURCUGCAGGGGAGACUGGAAUUCCUGGUGUAGCGGUGAAAUGCGCAGAUAUCAGGAGGAACACCGGUGGCGAAGGCGGGUCUCUGGGCAGUAACUGACGCUGAGGAACGAAAGCGUGGGUAGCAAACAGGAUUAGAUACCCUGGUAGUCCACGCCGUAAACGGUGGGCGCUAGGUGUGGGUUCCUUCCACGGGAUCUGUGCCGUAKCUAACGCAUUAAGCGCCCCGCCUGGGGAGUACGGCCCCAAGGCUAAAACUCAAAGGAAUUGAC